This 427-nucleotide ribosomal RNA is filed under the name uncultured bacterium. RNAcentral describes it as "partial 16S ribosomal RNA". It matches the Rfam family "Bacterial small subunit ribosomal RNA", at positions 355 to 774 of the family's 1533-position model. The record is from RNAcentral.
UGGGGAAUAUUGCACAAUGGGCGCAAGCCUGAUGCAGCCAUGCCGCGUGUAUGAAGAAGGCCUUCGGGUUGUAAAGUACUUUCAGCGGGGAGGAAGGCGAUAAGGUUAAUAACCUUGUCGAUUGACGUUACCCGCAGAAGAAGCACCGGCUAACUCCGUGCCAGCAGCCGCGGUAAUACGGAGGGUGCAAGCGUUAAUCGGAAUUACUGGGCGUAAAGCGCACGCAGGCGGUCUGUCAAGUCGGAUGUGAAAUCCCCGGGCUCAACCUGGGAACUGCAUUCGAAACUGGCAGGCUAGAGUCUUGUAGAGGGGGGUAGAAUUCCAGGUGUAGCGGUGAAAUGCGUAGAGAUCUGGAGUAAUACCGGUGGCGAAGGCGGCCCCCUGGACAAAGACUGACGCUCAGGUGCGAAAGCGUGGGGAGCAAACA